RNAcentral lists this ribosomal RNA (589 nucleotides) under Kocuria sp. ZJ0205B60. RNAcentral's name for it is "bacterial SSU rRNA". It matches the Rfam family "Bacterial small subunit ribosomal RNA", at positions 317 to 916 of the family's 1533-position model. The record is from RNAcentral. Lineage: Bacteria; Bacillati; Actinomycetota; Actinomycetes; Micrococcales; Micrococcaceae.
GGUUCCGGCAGUCGACGAUUCCUACGGGAGGCAGCAGUGGGGAAUAUUGCACAAUGGGCGGAAGCCUGAUGCAGCGACGCCGCGUGAGGGAUGACGGCCUUCGGGUUGUAAACCUCUUUCAGCAGGGAAGAAGCCACAAGUGACGGUACCUGCAGAAGAAGCGCCGGCUAACUACGUGCCAGCAGCCGCGGUAAUACGUAGGGCGCAAGCGUUGUCCGGAAUUAUUGGGCGUAAAGAGCUCGUAGGCGGUUUGUCGCGUCUGCUGUGAAAGCCCGGGGCUCAACCCCGGGUCUGCAGUGGGUACGGGCAGACUAGAGUGCAGUAGGGGAGACUGGAAUUCCUGGUGUAGCGGUGAAAUGCGCAGAUAUCAGGAGGAACACCGAUGGCGAAGGCAGGUCUCUGGGCUGUUACUGACGCUGAGGAGCGAAAGCAUGGGGAGCGAACAGGAUUAGAUACCCUGGUAGUCCAUGCCGUAAACGUUGGGCACUAGGUGUGGGGGACAUUCCACGUUCUCCGCGCCGUAGCUAACGCAUUAAGUGCCCCGCCUGGGGAGUACGGCCGCAAGGCUAAAACUCAAAUGAAUUGACGG